RNAcentral lists this ribosomal RNA (411 nucleotides) under uncultured Corynebacterium sp. RNAcentral describes it as "bacterial SSU rRNA". It matches the Rfam family "Bacterial small subunit ribosomal RNA", at positions 79 to 504 of the family's 1533-position model. Lineage: Bacteria; Bacillati; Actinomycetota; Actinomycetes; Mycobacteriales; Corynebacteriaceae. The record is from RNAcentral.
CUUGCAGGGUACUCGAGUGGCGAACGGGUGAGUAACACGUGGGUGAUCUGCCCUGCACUUCGGGAUAAGCUUGGGAAACUGGGUCUAAUACCGGAUAGGAGCCAUCUUUAGUGUGGUGGUUGGAAAGUUUUUUCGGUGUAGGAUGAGCUCGCGGCCUAUCAGCUUGUUGGUGGGGUAAUGGCCUACCAAGGCGGCGACGGGUAGCCGGCCUGAGAGGGUGUACGGCCACAUUGGGACUGAGAUACGGCCCAGACUCCUACGGGAGGCAGCAGUGGGGAAUAUUGCACAAUGGGCGCAAGCCUGAUGCAGCGACGCCGCGUGGGGGAUGAAGGCCUUCGGGUUGUAAACUCCUUUCGCUAGGGACGAAGCUUUUUUGUGACGGUACCUAGAUAAGAAGCACCGGCUAACUAC